GAAAAAGUAUGCAAGAACUGCUAACUCAUGCCCCCGCGCAUAAAAUCGCGGCUUUUUCU
Molecule: transfer RNA, 59 nt
Filed under: Megaerops niphanae (Ratanaworabhan's fruit bat)
Lineage: Eukaryota; Metazoa; Chordata; Mammalia; Chiroptera; Pteropodidae
Description: tRNA-Ser
Source: RNAcentral